RNAcentral lists this ribosomal RNA (255 nucleotides) under uncultured bacterium. RNAcentral describes it as "partial small subunit ribosomal RNA". It matches the Rfam family "Bacterial small subunit ribosomal RNA", at positions 26 to 291 of the family's 1533-position model. The record is from RNAcentral.
AGGACGAACGCUGGCGGCGUGCUUAACACAUGCAAGUCACGGGGGGCUCGCAAGAGCAACCGGCGAACGGGUGCGUAACACGUGAGCAAUUUGCCGAUUUCUGGGGGAUAGCCGGCCCAACGGCCGGGUAAUACCGCAUACGCUGAUGGAGAGGAGUCUCUUUAUCAGGAAACCUCCGGGGGAAAUCGAGGAGCUCGCGGCCUAUCAGCUAGUUGGCGGGGUCAAGGCCCACCAAGGCGACGACGGGUAGCUGGU